This 497-nucleotide ribosomal RNA is filed under the name uncultured bacterium. Its description in RNAcentral is "partial 16S ribosomal RNA". It matches the Rfam family "Bacterial small subunit ribosomal RNA", at positions 28 to 507 of the family's 1533-position model. The record is from RNAcentral.
GAUGAACGCUGGCGGCGUGCCUAAUACAUGCAAGUCGAGCGAACAGACGAGGAGCUUGCUCCUCUGACGUUAGCGGCGGACGGGUGAGUAACACGUGGAUAACCUACCUAUAAGACUGGGAUAACUUCGGGAAACCGGAGCUAAUACCGGAUAAUAUAUUGAACCGCAUGGUUCAAUAGUGAAAGACGGUUUUGCUGUCACUUAUAGAUGGAUCCGCGCCGCAUUAGCUAGUUGGUAAGGUAACGGCUUACCAAGGCAACGAUGCGUAGCCGACCUGAGAGGGUGAUCGGCCACACUGGAACUGAGACACGGUCCAGACUCCUACGGGAGGCAGCAGUAGGGAAUCUUCCGCAAAGGGCGAAAGCCUGACGGAGCAACGCCGCGUGAGUGAUGAAGGUCUUCGGAUCGUAAAACUCUGUUAUUAGGGAAGACCAAAUGUGUAAGUAACUAUGCACGUCUUGACGGUACCUAAUCAGAAAGCCACGGCUAACUACGUG